GACGAACGCUGGCGGCGUGCCUAAUACAUGCAAGUUGAGCGCUGAAGGUUGGUACUUGUACCGACUGGAUGAGCAGCGAACGGGUGAGUAACGCGUGGGGAAUCUGCCUUUGAGCGGGGGACAACAUUUGGAAACGAAUGCUAAUACCGCAUAAAAACUUUAAACACAAGUUUUAAGUUUGAAAGAUGCAAUUGCAUCACUCAAAGAUGAUCCCGCGUUGUAUUAGCUAGUUGGUGAGGUAAAGGCUCACCAAGGCGAUGAUACAUAGCCGACCUGAGAGGGUGAUCGGCCACAUUGGGACUGAGACACGGCCCAAACUCCUACGAGAGGCAGCAGUAGGGAAUCUUCGGCAAUGGACGAAAGUCUGACCGAGCAACGCCGCGUGAGUGAAGAAGGUUUUCGGAUCGUAAAACUCGGUUGGUAGAGAAGAACGUUGGUGAGAGUGGAAAGCUCAUCAAGUGACGGUAACUACCCAGAAAGGGACGGCUAACUACGUG
This 497-nucleotide ribosomal RNA is filed under the name uncultured bacterium. RNAcentral's name for it is "partial 16S ribosomal RNA". It matches the Rfam family "Bacterial small subunit ribosomal RNA", at positions 28 to 507 of the family's 1533-position model. The record is from RNAcentral.